Molecule: ribosomal RNA, 437 nt
Rfam family: Bacterial small subunit ribosomal RNA
ACGGGAGGCAGCAGUGGGGAAUAUUGGGCAAUGGGCGAAAGCCUGACCCAGCGACGCCGCGUGAAGGAAGAAGGUCUUCGGAUUGUAAACUUCUUUUAUGAGGGACGAAGGACGUGACGGUACCUCAUGAAUAAGCCACGGCUAACUACGUGCCAGCAGCCGCGGUAAUACGUAGGUGGCAAGCGUUAUCCAGAUUUACUGGGUGUAAAGGGCGCGUAGGCGGGGGUGCAAGUCAGAGGUGAAAUCUAUGGGCUUAACUCAUAAACUGCAUUUGAAACUGUAUCUCUUGAGUGCGGGAGAGGUAGAUGGAAUGCCUUGUGUAGCGGUGAAAUGCGUAGAUAUAAGGAAGAACACCAGUUGCGAAGGCGAUCUACUGGACAGUAACUGACGCUGAGGCGCGAGAGCGUGGGGAGCAAACAGGAUUAGAUACCCUGGUA